GAUCCGAUAUUUCUAUGUAAUAGGGUAUUUUACACCUAGUGAGAAAUGAUCUAAAAAUAUUUAUUUACGAUAGUUUAGGCAAUAAGAAAACGGGAAGUGUAAGUAUCAGUUCACAAAAUUAUAAAAUAAAUUUUAUAUUUUAAUUCGAAAUUUUCACUUUUUUUUAUCUGUGCAACAAUUAUGCGAACCGCUAGCCGCCUAUGUACCCGCCAUAUUACUACGUCAUCAUGUCAGUAAAUCCUUCCCUUUCUAAUUGCAUGAC
Long non-coding RNA from Maniola jurtina (meadow brown), 262 nucleotides. RefSeq lists it as uncharacterized. NCBI's taxonomy places the organism in Eukaryota, Metazoa, Arthropoda, Insecta, Lepidoptera, Nymphalidae. The record is from RefSeq and is a predicted model, not a curated record. The transcript has 3 exons.